Molecule: unclassified non-coding RNA, 417 nt
Filed under: soil metagenome
Description: partial contains 5.8S ribosomal RNA, internal transcribed spacer 2, and large subunit ribosomal RNA
Rfam family: 5.8S ribosomal RNA (bases 1-120)
Source: RNAcentral
GAUGAAGAACGUAGUGAAAUGCGAUAAGUAAUGUGAAUUGCAGAAUUCAGUGAAUCAUCGAAUCUUUGAACGCACCUUGCGCUCCUUGGUAUUCCAAAGAGCAUGCCUGUUUGAGUAUCAUUAAAUUAUCAACUGUACCAAUUUGGUUGCAGAUUGGAUGUGGGAGAUUUUGCAGGCUUUUGAUUUCUCUUUGAGAAAACGGUCAGCUCUCCUGAAAUAUAUUAGCAGUGCCUUUGUUGGUUCAUUAGGUGUGAUAAUUUAUCUACAUCUUCACAUGGUACCUUCAUUUGGGUAAAGGUCAUAUUGCUUCUAAUUGUCUUUGGACAUAAAAAAAAAAAACAUAUAAUUGUAUGGAAAACUUGAUCUCAAAUCAGGCAGGACUACCCGCUGAACUUAAGCAUAUCAAUAAGCGGAGGA